AACGCGAAGAACCUUACCUGGGUUUGACAUGCACUGGAUCGCCCCUGAGAGGGGGUUUCCCUUGUGGCUGGUGCACAGGUGGUGCAUGGCUGUCGUCAGCUCGUGUCGUGAGAUGUUGGGUUAAGUCCCGCAACGAGCGCAACCCUUGUCCCGUGUUGCCAGCAGGCCCUUGUGGUGCUGGGGACUCACGGGAGACCGCCGGGGUCAACUCGGAGGAAGGUGGGGACGACGUCAAGUCAUCAUGCCCCUUAUGUCUUGGGCUGCACACGUGCUACAAUGGCCGGUACAAUGAGCUGCGAUACCGCGAGGUGGAG
Molecule: ribosomal RNA, 314 nt
Filed under: uncultured Streptomyces sp.
Lineage: Bacteria; Bacillati; Actinomycetota; Actinomycetes; Kitasatosporales; Streptomycetaceae
Description: bacterial SSU rRNA
Rfam family: Bacterial small subunit ribosomal RNA
Source: RNAcentral